AAUUUGAAAUCUGGCCCUUUUGGGGUCCGAGUUGUAAUUUGUAGAGAGUGCUUCGGGUGAGACCGCGGUCUAAGUCCAUUGGAACAUGGCGUCCCAGAGGGUGAGAAUCCCGUAUGUGACCGUGGCUCGAGCCCAUGUGAAGCCUCUUCGACGAGUCGAGUUGUUUGGGAAUGCAGCUCUAAAUGGGUGGUAAAUUUCAUCUAAAGCUAAAUACUGGCUGGAGACCGAUAGCGCACAAGUAGAGUGAUCGAAAGAUGAAAAGCACUUUGGAAAGAGGGUUAAACAGUACGUGAAAUUGUUGAAAGGGAAGCGCUGGCAACCAGACCUGCCCGUAGGCGAUCACCCGUUGUUUUCAGCGGUGCACUCGUUCUGCGAUCAGGCCAGCAUCGGUUCCGGCGGGCGGAUAAAGGUCUUGGGAAUGUAGCUCUCUUUCGGGGGAGUCUUAUAGCCCUCGAUGCAAUGCGCCCAGCCGGGACCGAGGACCGCGCUUCGGCUAGGAUGCUGGCGUAAUGGUUGUCAGCGACCC
RNAcentral lists this ribosomal RNA (526 nucleotides) under Melanohalea olivacea. RNAcentral's name for it is "eukaryotic LSU rRNA". It matches the Rfam family "Eukaryotic large subunit ribosomal RNA", at positions 112 to 650 of the family's 3401-position model. The record is from RNAcentral. Lineage: Eukaryota; Fungi; Ascomycota; Lecanoromycetes; Lecanorales; Parmeliaceae.